RNAcentral lists this transfer RNA (71 nucleotides) under Marmota monax (woodchuck). RNAcentral's name for it is "tRNA.Val". It matches the Rfam family "tRNA". Rfam says of the family: Transfer RNA (tRNA) molecules are approximately 80 nucleotides in length. Their secondary structure includes four short double-helical elements and three loops (D, anti-codon, and T loops). Lineage: Eukaryota; Metazoa; Chordata; Mammalia; Rodentia; Sciuridae. The record is from RNAcentral.
GGGGUUGUGGCUCAGUGGCAGAGCACUCGCCUAACAUGUGUGAGGCACUGGGUUCAAUUCUCAGCACCACA